GCCUGAUACACAAUCCACGCGGGUUGUUCUUCUCUCUCCUGUUGCUGUGAUCUCUUUAUAUCUUACGAAACCCAAUGAAGUUUCUGAAGACUUUCAUAUCACAUGAUGAACUUAAUACCAUGUGAUAGAUCAGAAAGUGAAAAAAAAUAGAUAGAUAAAUAAAUAAAAAUACGAGAAAAAAAAGGAACAUUUAUCCACGUGGUUUUCGAUACUGCAAUAUCACUGUGAUUGAGACCCCGUGUUGCAGCGUUACGCUUCAUUAAAGAGAUCCUUUGAAAUCCACAACGAAAACAACAACAACAAACCGAGAAGGAAACAGGAAUUGAGAAAAACACAAGAAUAACGCGAAGAACACCUUAGACCAACCCUGGUGCAACGACAGAUACAACAUGAUGGCACUCUCCGUCAGAGCAGCCGAGAGGAGCGGUGCCCGACGAGCGGUGGGCGGAGCCAAGCUGAAUGAAGCCACUCCUACCUCUGCCACGACGACGCACACACGCCCAUCGUCUCCGCACAAGCCCCGCCCACACCUGAGGGGGAAACGCCCAUCCAUGACCCUUAUGUUAACCCAUGUGGUGGUGUUGACCCUCAUGGCACUCUCAGCGGCGCUUGAAGUGGAUGCCACGGAGGGUGAGUCAACAGAGUUCGUUUUUGCUUAUUU
RNAcentral lists this long non-coding RNA (661 nucleotides) under Penaeus japonicus. Its description in RNAcentral is "uncharacterized LOC122244720". The record is from RNAcentral. Lineage: Eukaryota; Metazoa; Arthropoda; Malacostraca; Decapoda; Penaeidae.